CAGAACAGGAGCAUCAACGUUUACCUUCCGUAGCUCCUCUGAAUAAGCAAUCGCACGGUCUCUCAUCCAGUCAUGCUCUGCUAUCACUGUCAAUGUUGGGGGCAUCCGUUUUAGCGGAGGUCCUCUUCCAGGGGUCAGAGGGUUAGCAGCAGCAUGAUCCAAGUCAAACUCCCCUUCAGGUAAAAAUAACUUCCACGCAAGAGUACACAAGGUCUUGUCAUAGAAAUACGAAUUUGCUAGCUUAAUCUCCGAAGGUGUUGGAACACUUCCAAUGAAAAAAGGAUACAUCAAAACCUGCGCCACCACUUUCACUGGAUCCAAAAGCUUACCUGCCUCUACAGCUUUCCGAGCCACAUAAUCAGCUAUAUUCCCCCCACAACUCACUCCUAGGAGAACACACCUUGAUGGAUCCCCAUGAGCAGCCAACCAAGGCUCCACCAACGAUGCUCCAAACGCAUCAGCUAUAUGCCCAUACGUAUCAGAUUUCUUCAAAUCCGUCCCUCCACCACGUCUGCUCCCAACCGACUUACUACAUUCAGCUAAAU
Molecule: unclassified non-coding RNA, 545 nt
Filed under: Hevea brasiliensis (rubber tree)
Lineage: Eukaryota; Viridiplantae; Streptophyta; Magnoliopsida; Malpighiales; Euphorbiaceae
Source: RNAcentral